UGCACCAGAUGAAACUAGAUACAAGCGAGCGGCGGACGGGUGAGUAACACGUGGGUAACCUGCCCAAGAGACUGGGAUAACACCUGGAAACAGAUGCUAAUACCGGAUAACAACACUAGACGCAUGUCUAGAGUUUAAAAGAUGGUUCUGCUAUCACUCUUGGAUGGACCUGCGGUGCAUUAGCUAGUUGGUAAGGUAACGGCUUACCAAGGCAAUGAUGCAUAGCCGAGUUGAGAGACUGAUCGGCCACAUUGGGACUGAGACACGGCCCAAACUCCUACGGGAGGCAGCAGUAGGGAAUCUUCCACAAUGGACGCAAGUCUGAUGGAGCAACGCCGCGUGAGUGAAGAAGGGUUUCGGCUCGUAAAGCUCUGUUGGUAGUGAAGAAAGAUAGAGGUAGUAACUGGCCUUUAUUUGACGGUAAUUACUUAGAAAGUCACGGCUAACUACGUGCCAGCAGCCGCGGUAAUACGUAGGUGGCAAGCGUUGUCCGGAUUUAUUGGGCGUAAAGCGAGUGCAGGCGGUUCAAUAAGUCUGAUGUGAAAGCCUUCGGCUCAACCGGAGAAUUGCAUCAGAAACUGUUGAACUUGAGUGCAGAAGAGGAGAGUGGAACUCCAUGUGUAGCGGUGGAAUGCGUAGAUAUAUGGAAGAACACCAGUGGCGAAGGCGGCUCUCUGGUCUGCAACUGACGCUGAGGCUCGAAAGCAUGGGUAGCGAACAGG
This 722-nucleotide ribosomal RNA is filed under the name uncultured Bacilli bacterium. RNAcentral describes it as "bacterial SSU rRNA". It matches the Rfam family "Bacterial small subunit ribosomal RNA", at positions 68 to 776 of the family's 1533-position model. Lineage: Bacteria; Bacillati; Bacillota; Bacilli. The record is from RNAcentral.